Molecule: long non-coding RNA, 250 nt
Filed under: Hordeum vulgare
Lineage: Eukaryota; Viridiplantae; Streptophyta; Magnoliopsida; Poales; Poaceae
Description: long non-coding RNA (HVUL_LNC016073)
Source: RNAcentral
UUUUUUUCUUGAUGUUAUCGGAUUUCUUUCACCCUCGGAAUGUGAAGAUGGUCAUCUAGCAUUGCCUUCCCUAAAUUCUCCCCAGUCUACCCUUUCCACCAAAGAUAUCUUCUCGGGGUUUUGCCGACAAAACCCGACCUUCCGAAUUGCCGGAAGGGAAACCCUGAUCUCUCCUGUUUCAAAGGAACCCCAAUUUUUGUUGCCCUGUUGCCUCCCAAACCUUCUCCUAAUGAUCAUCCCCUAUCUUUAA